AGGACCAGUGAUGACUGGUGACAUAUUAGUCUGGGGUGAAUAACACUAAAGGUCUAGAACUCCAAGGUCCAA
Molecule: small nucleolar RNA, 72 nt
Organism: Manis pentadactyla (Chinese pangolin)
Lineage: Eukaryota; Metazoa; Chordata; Mammalia; Pholidota; Manidae
Product: small nucleolar RNA SNORD113/SNORD114 family
Exons: 1
Source: RefSeq, a predicted model, not a curated record